GAUGAACGCUGGCGGCGUGCCUAAUACAUGCAAGUCGAGCGAACGGACGAGAAGCUUGCUUCUCUGACGUUAGCGGCGGACGGGUGAGUAACACGUGGAUAACCUACCUAUAAGACUGGGAUAACUUCGGGAAACCGGAGCUAAUACCGGAUAAUAUAUUGAACCGCAUGGUUCAAAAGUGAAAGACGGUUUUGCUGUCACUUAUAGAUGGAUCCGCGCUGCAUUAGCUAGUUGGUAAGGUAACGGCUUACCAAGGCAACGAUGCGUAGCCGACCUGAGAGGGUGAUCGGCCACACUGGAACUGAGACACGGUCCAGACUCCUACGGGAGGCAGCAGUAGGGAAUCUUCCGCAAUGGGCGAAAGCCUGACGGAGCAACGCCGCGUGAGUGAUGAAGGUCUUCGGAUCGUAAAACUCUGUUAUUAGGGAAGAACAAAUGUGUAAGUAACUAUGCACGUCUUGACGGUACCUAAUCAGAAAGCCACGGCUAACUACGUG
RNAcentral lists this ribosomal RNA (497 nucleotides) under uncultured bacterium. Its description in RNAcentral is "partial 16S ribosomal RNA". It matches the Rfam family "Bacterial small subunit ribosomal RNA", at positions 28 to 507 of the family's 1533-position model. The record is from RNAcentral.